GUAACUAAUGCAAUUCCAUAGACCUGAUUAUGGUGCAAUUCCAUACCCUGACUGGGGAGUUGCUCUAGGCUGGUGUAUAAUAAUUUUCUACAUUAUUUGGAUUCCAAUUAUGGCUAUCAUAAAAAUAAUUCAGGCUAAAGAAAACAUCUUUCAAUGCCUUGUAAGUUGCUGCAGACUAGCUUCUAACUGGGUUCCAUACCUGGAACAACGUUCUGGGGAGAGAUAUAAAGGCAUGAUAUAUCCCCAAAAAGAGACUGACAGUGACAUACCUACUGUUAGUGGCAGCAGAAAACCAGAAUGA
RNAcentral lists this long non-coding RNA (301 nucleotides) under Homo sapiens (human). Its description in RNAcentral is "non-protein coding lnc-SLC6A14-1:1". Lineage: Eukaryota; Metazoa; Chordata; Mammalia; Primates; Hominidae. The record is from RNAcentral.